ACUUACUAAUGUCAUCUGAUUAAUUGUUUUCUGGCUGUUUUGUAGUCUCCUAUUCCUUUCUUACUGUCUUCCUCUGUGAAUUGAUGAUUUUUCAUAGUGGUAUGCUUUGAUUCCCUUCUCUUUAUCUUUUGUGUAUCUACUGUUGGUUUUUGCUUUGUGAUUAAUAUGAGGCUUACAUAAAACAUCUUACAGAUAUAACUGAGUUUUUAAAGUUGAUAUCAGCAUUUUAAGCUGAUAAAAACUUACUUUGAUUGCAUACAAAAACUUUACUCUUUCACUCCCCCCUCCGCCAGAGAAGUGAUAGUCUUUAGCAGUAGGUUGGUGUUAAUCUGGGAGAGUAGGGUGAGGAGAUAUGAUGAAAGUUGGAGAUGCUGGAGUGGAUAAAACCUGUAUGCCCCCCAGGGACAGUACACUAACCAAAGUAAAGUUCCCCCCAAGAGUAAGAGGCCCUGGGUCCUAUUAGUGCCACCUGGAACUCUGGGGGCAGGCAGCCUUGCAUUGGCACAUGUUUCUCUUAGCACAUGGGCAAAAGAACUGGAGACAACAGUAGCUAUGAAGGGCAUUAGAGCAGGCAGAGUGCUGCUGACAGCCCGUAGUCUUUCCUGAAGUCUCAUAAGGUGCUACCCUUCCCUUUGCUCUUGCUCUUCUCUGAGCCCACAAGAAGGACAGGGAAGAGGUGGAUGGGGGUGAAAAGAUGAUGAUCCUGGGCAUUAGGAUGAGGAGGCUGCAGAGGGCAGAACUGUAUAGAUCUAAAAGUUUUUCUAGGAUUGCAGACAACUUCACACACACACAAGAGGGGCAAAGGAGAUAGAGCCAAAGACACUCAGGGACUAGGGGUGAGUUCCACCCGGAGCAAGAGGUUUCCAGAGGAUUGAGACCACAGAGACUAAAAUCAGCCACUUCUUGCCCCAAAGAUUCAUCAUGGCAGUUGCCCAUACCCCUGGGGGUUUAGAAUCAGCCCCAUGAAGGAAGAGAGUGAAAGAACUUUGAGAGGGUGAAAACUCUUGAAUGGACUGUAUUUUAAACUCAUAACUAAAUCCUGGAUUCAAUUUUCUGCUCUCAAUUGGAAAUGAGGGCUCUGAAUUUAAAAUCAAAAAGGUUAAAUUGAGUUGAGAUAGGGUGACCAACUGUUCCAAUUUGUUCUAUGACGUGAGACUUUUCACUGCUAAAACCUGCAAAAUCUUUGGCAAACCAAGAUGGUUGGUCACUUCAGUUAUAAAUAUAAUGAAAGUGACAUUUUUGCAUUCCCAAGUUUGUGACUCUGAAAUUCAUACCCACUGACAUUUAAAAAGGCCAGUCCUGAAGUCUCCAAUCUGGGGGGAUUCCCACAUACACACUAGAGUGGACACUGAUGCAGCCACCCAGAUCCCUCUUUAAGGAAGGCAUUAUUGCCCCAGCAGUUGGGAGUGCUGUUGGUGGACAGCCUCAGCUGUCAGUCCUAUAGAGUUUGCCUCAGCUGGGAAGCCACCUUGCCCAAUUCAGGCCACUUCCUGUAGCUGCCACCAUCCAAUGACUGAUUCAUGCAGGAGUAUAAAGGCCAGCCACCUCCUCCCAGCUCAGGACAAAAGGGCCAUUCUAGCUCUAUAGAUUCCCCGUGAGGUGGGUUGAGGCUAUAGUUUGACCUGCAUUGCAGACCACCGUCUCCCUCUGCCCAAUCCUGCUUCCUUCCUCUCCUUACCACAGGCGUUAAUGCCAAGGGUACUCUCUAAUAAACAGUCUACAUACUAAGCUCUGUCUCAGAGUCUGCUUCUUGGAGAACCCAACCUUAACCUAAAUCAAUGCCUUUCUUCUGAUUUGCUGUCUGUUGCCUGAGACCAUCUCACAAAGACAUGUAAGUCAUGGGAGACUCACUGGCUGAGCCUGAGGAAAACUGGAGAAGUGGUUUGCCCUAGGGGCUGUCUAAGGAACUGUCUUUUUUUAUUCUGAAAGCUUUUCAGGACAAGAAAAUAUGUCAUAGUAGGUACACUAUAAAUUUAUUGGGUGAGUGAAUGACCAGGGCAGGAUCAGCUUCAUGCACAUAUGACCUGUACAGUUGUACAGGGCCCCAUCUGUCUCAGAAGGGCACCACAGUUGGUUUAAUGCUCUGCUAUCAGGGACUUGAACAUCUUAAUAAUUUUUCAAGAAGAGGCCUUGCAUUUUCAUUGUGCCGUGGGCCCUGCAAAUUAUGUAGCUAGGCCUGGGCCUGGGUCCCCCAAGAACUAACUUAUCCUCAGUUCCCCCAGGAUUCUCCCUCACCAUAAGGGAGUGGCAGGAAAGCAGAGAGCAAGUCAACAGUAUUCUUAGAACGACUCUCAGGGUGGCCCUAGAACCACAUUCCCAAACCUCAUUCCUUGCAAUCCUAGCUCUCCAAGACAUUUACACAUGCUUGGAGGGCAAAGUCAUCAGUGGUCACACAAACUCAGGAAAUAGCAACCUAAAACCCCACCUGGAGAUAUACAGUGUACAUCAACACAGUAAAGGUUCUGAGAAGUCUCCCCUGUAAAUAAGGUACCUGCUUAAUUUUGUUUAAUGCUUGAAUAAACAACUACAUUUGUUCAGGGAAAGAUUGUUUUCCCGACCCACCUCUUAACAUCCUGGAACAAUUUCCCUUUAACACUCCUUUGGGAAGUACUACCCCAGAAACUUGGGCUGAAUUGGCCACACCUCCCUAGUCCUGAGUGUAGGAAUCUAAAAUAACAGUCCAGCACUGACUUCUUCCCUGAACUGCUUUUGGAGGUGAUGAUCAGAAAGUCAUUUGUUUGCCAUGGUAUUUGGGAACUAAAAGGGAGCUUGUACAGCCUACUUCAGGCAAAGACAAGAAGACAGAUGCCCUUAAAGGUUAAAUUGUUGUUUUAAAGCCCCAGGAACUUGUAGCAGACCAGUCUGGAGUUAAGUACAAGUGAUAAUGAUAACAGCUAACAUUUACCAAAUGUUUACUAUGCUCUAGGAGCUGCAUUAUAUUAUUUUACCUUCACAUAAACUAUGGAGUAGAUACUCAUGCUGGGUAUAUGGGGUAAAUACCUAUGAUGGUUAGAGUUGUGUGCCAACUCAGCUAGACUGUGGUACCCAGUUGUUUGGUCAAACAUCAGUCUAGAUGUUGCUGUGAAGGUAUUUUUUUAGAUGAGAUUAGCAGUUAAAUUAGCAGACUUUGAGUAAAGCAGCUCACACUCCAUGCUGUGUGUGGGCCUCGUCUGGUCAGUUGAAGGCCUUAAGAGCAAAGACUGAGGUUUCCUGAAGAAGAAGGAAUUCUCGUCAAGAUUGCGGCGUAGGAACCCUGCCUGAGCUUCUGCCUGCUGCUCUGUGGAACCUGCACCCAAGACUGCAACAUCAUCUUUUGUCUAAAUUUCCACCCUGCUGGCCUGCCCUACAGAUUGUAGACUUGAUAGCCCUGAUGAUCACAAGAGACAAUUCCUUAAAAUCUCUCUCUGUCUCUUUCUAACAUUCUGUUGGUUCUGGUUCUCUGCAGAACUCUGACUAAUACAAUACCUGCUCUGGAUAUGUGGAGUAAGAUACCCAUGCUAGGUAUUCCCUUUGCCCCUCCAGAUCUACUCUUUACUUCGCUGCACUCUGUCUGUGACCAUUAAUGCACAUCAACUGGCUUCCUUGCCCUGUUGUUUCCAGUUGGGUUGGGUUAGUGAGAGGUAGUGGCAGGAGGUCAGUGCAGGAGCAGAGUGAGGUUAGGGAGUCAAUUCUCUUGCCUCUCCCUGCCAAGCUGAAGGUUGGCAGUGGCUGUGCCCCUUUACCCAAGGCUGGAGCUUUCGUUCAGUGGCCUCCCCAACAGCUCUAGUUGUAGCAGCAGCUACAGCCUCAGCUCUCACUGGGUUCCUGUAACCACUCUCUCCUCUUGCUCUUUAGGCCUAGGUUGGUAAGAGCUCUCUGCUGUUGCUAGCCUUUUCCCAUCCUUAACUAUCUGCUUUAUUAUCCUCCAUAGUUUUUCCUUAAUCCUGUCCAUAUGUCAGUACAUCAUCCUCAAUUUCCCUGUUUGAAUGUGCCGUCUGUUUCCUGCCAAGACCCCGAGUAAUUCAAUACACUUUUUAUUCUUUUUGUACAUGAGGAAACUGAGGCCUAGAGAGGCAUAGAGAGGCUUGGUGACUUCUCCAGGGCAGGGAUUUAAGCCAAGGUCUCUGAUUCCCGUGGCGAUACUCACAGUCUAUACACAUCAAUUCAAUUACUGCUCACAUCAAUUACUUACUCUUUUGGAAUCAGUUUCCCCAUUUGCAAAAUGAGGUCAGUAACAUGACUCUUCAUAGAAUUCUAGUCAGCACUCAGUAAAUACUAGCUGUUGUUAUUAUUUGUGACAAAAAAUGGGCCUUGACAAAAAUAGAAUUCCCAGCUUACAGGGUCUUGGUAAGGACUAAUUGACUAAUAGGUGUCCUGCCCCAGCUCAGGGCCUGGCACACACCAGCACUCGAUAUAUGCCAUGAAACAGUAGUCACAUCUGUUGUUCUUUUCCUAUGGCACACCUUCCACGAACAUGGCUCUUAAAUUCUACGUGAGCACAAUUUUGAGUUGAGAGGCAGGUGAGACGCACUUUACAUAUGUUAUCUCAGGUAAACAUCAUAACAGAACUAAGAGGUGAGUUAUUCCAGCCCUACAGAUGAGGAAGCUGAGGACAAAGGAGUUAAAUACCUUACCUAAGGGCCACUGCUACCUCUGGUAGCAAGGGAUUGAGGAUUCAACCCAGGUAUAUCUGAUUCUAUAUUUAUUUGAGCUAAAGAAGACUUGUUAAUAGAGCUAAUUCAGUGGAUAAGCACGGAUAUGAUAGGUCCCACUGUUAAAAUACAGAAGUGUUUCCCCGUUGGUUGGUAGAGGGCUGCUGUCUCAAGGUCUCUUAGUCUAACCUUCUCACUCAUUCCCUUUCCCUCCGCCCCUGAGCCUGAGCCCCAAAGACAGGGCCUGUUCUAUCGGGUCUGGGCCCAUACCCAGCAGUUAUAAAUUUUUGGAAUAUCACUCCUGGAAACAAAUCCCGUAAAUGAAACUGGAGAAUCACAUCUCAGAGAAGUAAAGAAUAAGCUACGUCCAAACCUUGUAGAAGUCAAAGAAGAAAGAUGCCCUGGUGUAUUCAGAGCGUUGCAGAAGAGUCUCAUCAUUUCUGUGCCUCUGUCCUGUGGCUGAUUUACUUGAGGGGAGGAGCCCCAGAGGGAGCUUUGGGUUCCAAAGGUAUGGAGGGGUGGCAUUGUCUGUCCCAUCAUCUAGAAAGCCCAGUCCUGUUUCUGGGCCAUCCCUGCCUCAGCCUUGAUUGCACCUCUGUCCUGAACCCAAGGCCCCAUGGCCCUUUCAGGAUAACUCAGAGAGAAAACAGGUGUGCACACUGUGUGAGGUGGAGAAGGGGUUUCAGUGUCUUCCCUUCAGCGUCUUCCCCUUCUGGGUUUCAAGUCAGUUGGCCUGGGCUUCCACGUUUUACCUGAAAGAGGAAGAUUGGCAGCUUGCCAAGAGCCCAAGGACUGCUCCUAACCUCUGUGUUGCUGAGCUGGUAGCCAGCAGCCCUUGGUCAUCACCUUGCAGUCGCCCCUUCUCCCUUGGUGCAGUCCAUCUCUGAAGGAGGCUGGGCUUUGGGGCCUUUUUGUUUAAUGGCUGAGGGGGAGUUUGGAGAUUUGUAGGAGAAAGUCUACAGAACAGAUAGUGAAUUAGGAAACCCAAAGCCAGGGUUCAUGGCACAGAGGGCUGGGGCCAGUGGGAGAAGGAGGCUAAGGGAACAGCAGUCAUCGGGGGAUUUGAUGCUGGGGCAAUUUUGCUCUGUUUCCUUGCAGACCCUUCUGCAGUGUGUCAGGCUCUGUUCCUGCUGUGAGGAGCUGCCAAGGCCAGCCCUUGCCCUUUACAAAUCUCCCUUCUCAUUCUUUCUUUCAAAAUGGACGUGCCCUGGAUUAAUAAAGAUGUGCUGGAGAGCUUCCUCUCUCUGCCUGGCAUUCUGCUUUAAUAAUAAUACUACUCCUACACUUUAAUCUAAAAAGUAGAGAGGAAUUGAAAUAAAAAUCCACAAAGAAAAAGAAAACCUCCAUAACUUAAAGAGAUAGGGUAGGGGCAGAAGAAAGGACAAGAAGAUCCCUGGGUGAAAAUGGUGGCAUUUAAUCAGGGAUUAUACAGGAAGUGGGUGAGCAAUUCCAGAAUGACAAGAACCAACCUGAACCUCUAAUGGAACUUUUGUCAAGGUUUCCAAUACUCCAGUGUCCUUUAAAAAGUAUUUCCUUCUCUGCCCUUAUGUUUUUGUUAAGGUCCAUAGGUGAAAAUGAAAUAAUUGAAAGCGAGAUGCUGGCUCUAUUGACUUUUUUCAAAGGGAAAACAGGCCACAAGUUUCAUAGGAAAUCCUCUUGUGGAAUAAAUGGCCUCAAGAACAGGACUGGCACCAUAAUUUGCAGGGGCCAGAGCAAAAUGAAAACAUGGGGCCUCUUGUUCAAACUGGAAACUUGGAAUCCAAAGUGUAUGAAGUUAAUGAAGAAAAGCCAUCAUUGGAGGGAUUUUUCUAGGUUCCGGAGUGUGCUGUCAGGACAAGGCAGGGGUUAACGCCUGAGAGCAGUCUUCAAUCAAGGACGAGUGGAAUGGAGUUGGCGGGUACGUUCCCCAGCCUCCUCGCCCUUCGGUGGAUCAAAUUGAAGUGUCUGCAUGGUGGCCCAUGGGGUCUUCAGCAGGAUCAAGCCCAGUUACCCAGGGCGAUCAUCCACUUAUCAACAUCCUCUUUGUUGACUUUCUUCCCUUCCUCAUUUCGUUUCUUCGCUCCCUCUCCACGUUUCCUGGGAUCACCUUCCAAAUCCUUGCACCCAAAUCCUUUUCUCCGAGUCUGCUUUUAGGGGAACCCAAAUUAAAACACAGGCUUCCUCACUAUAAUUCUAACUCUUGGCUUGACGCACCUGCCACUGUUUAGAGCUUUAAAUCUAAUUUGACCAUCAUGAGAAAUUCUUCAUGAAUGGCAAUACUCUUUCACAAAUCAGCUAAUGUUAAGAAAGGAACAACCACACCGUAAGGAGAGAAGCAGCAUACUGUCUUAAAGAAAAUGUACUUAAAGGAAAAGCAAACCACGUGUCCUGAUGGUCAGCAGAGGAGAGGGAGAGAGGGAGAAAACCGAAUGACUGUGCUUACUGAUAUCUGCGCAAGAGAGCAGGAGUUCAGCUCUAGUGCGACUGUCUUAGUUGUGAGGUUAGGAGAACCGAAUGAGUGAAGGGGCAAGAACGCAGUUCUUUGACCCUCACUGCGGAAGCUUGCUGGAGGCGGGCCUGAAAGAGACAGAAAUGGGUGUGGGGAAGGACACAGCAGGGAGCAGGUGCUGCUCACCCAGCCCUCAAGUUUUGGAGUUAGUCUCCAAAUCUGGGGACGCGAUUCAAGCACUUAUGGAGCCCUUACUGUGUUGAUAGAUGUUGAGCACAGUGCUGGGCACUGCUUCCUGGGAGCCCAAGAGAACACUGGUCACAAACUCUGUCCACAAGGGACUCGCAGACUAGUAGAGGACAUAAGACAUGCCAAGACAUUUGCUGACCCACAGAAAUAGCAAUUUUAUAUGAUUUGCCAAUUAACGAAAAGGUAGUCCACCCAUCUGGCAGGCGCUGAUCCUGCUGGAUCAGCAGGGACCUCUGCCUGUCCGAGGCCAAAAUAACUGUCCACAAAAAUAGCUGCCUACUAGACUCUAACAAUAUUAAGGGCGGGACUGUAUUUUCUAAAUCUUUGUACGGCCUGCAAGGCAUUGCUUUGAAUAUAGUAGGUGGUCAUGGAUGAGUGGUGUCUGCAUAACCCAAGCAAGAAUCUCAUUUUAUAAUACGAAAUUUUAUGAAAAGGCAGAAAAGGCAGAAACCCAUUGUGGCUGGGCUAAUAUGGGAAGGCUUCCUGGAAGAGGUGGCUUUGGAGCUGAGUCACAGUUUCAAAGUAAAAACACCCAACUAAAACGGACUCUUGAAUUUUCCUUUGCUUGUCAGCAGAGGUCUGGCUCCAGUCUGGAGAUAUGUCCGUCCUUCCGUCAUUCCUUUGUAUCCAACGGAUGCAUAUUCAACUUUGACUUUUUAAAUUUUUUAAAUGGUUUGCUAUUAAAACAUUCUAAUUUGGAGCCUUUUUUUCUCUUGAUGUCAAUAGAAGGAUAUUAUUUCACUGCUUUUACUGGAGCUGCGGGACAAUUGUUAGUUUAUUCUGCAUUGCUGCUCAGAGAUACACUUACAAACACAAGGAUACAUGUGAAGAUGGGAAACAAAGCGAUGGGAAAAUGCACCCUAUUUAGGAAAGCCAAGCCUCCCAAAGAGAAAACUAGAGGCUGCCAGGCAGGUCUGUGUUUUAACUUGUGGUCCUUCUUGCUCCCAGGUUGCAGUCACCUAACUCCUGCACACCCCCUCUCCCUUUUCCUCUGCCAGGAGUCUCAGCAGUGCCCUCAGUAGGUGCUCUGUGUAUGGCAAGGGAAACAGCAAGGGUUUCUGUGGAAGACCUUUACUUGGGGAAACCC
This is a non-coding RNA of Equus caballus (horse), 8395 nucleotides long. The record is from RefSeq and is a predicted model, not a curated record. NCBI's taxonomy places the organism in Eukaryota, Metazoa, Chordata, Mammalia, Perissodactyla, Equidae.